Molecule: long non-coding RNA, 5214 nt
Organism: Acinonyx jubatus (cheetah)
Lineage: Eukaryota; Metazoa; Chordata; Mammalia; Carnivora; Felidae
Exons: 3
Source: RefSeq, a predicted model, not a curated record
UCUUCUUCUUUUUUUUUUUUUUUAAUAUUUAUUUAUUUUUGAGAGACAGAGACAGAGUGUGAGUCGGGGAGAGGCAGAGAGAGAGGGAGACACAGAAUCCGAAGCAGGAUCCAGGCUCCGAGCUGUCAGCACAGGGCCCGAUGCGGGACACAAACCCACGAACUGUGAGAUCAUGACCUGAGCCCAAGUCGGAUGCUUAACCGACUGAGCCACCCGGGCAGCCCGGUAAGGCCUUGUGAUGGGCAGCUUAUCCAGGCUCUCGUGUGGAGAGAGUCCUGGGAGGAUUCUUAGACCCACGUCCGUGCUUUGGAGGAGAAACCAGAGCCAUGGAACGUUGGCUGCAAGCAGGGGAGGUCCCUGGCAAGCCCGGGGUGUGUGUGAUGCUAAAAACCAUGAUCAGUAGCUGAGUAUUCAACACCCACCAGUUCACUUUCAUCAGCUGUCCACCUGCCGGUAGAAUCAUCAUCCAACCAUCCAUCCAUCCACUGUCCACUCCUCCAGCAUCCAUCUCCCAAUUCCCUCAUUCCCCCCUCUCCCCAUUCACUCACUUCCCCCCAGUCCUGUCGCCCCCCCCCCCCCCCAUCCCUCACCACUGACUCUGCACCUGGUCCUGUGCUGGAUGCUCAGUGUGCAACGAGUAAGACUGCGAUCUUCCUUCAAACCCAGUGAGGCAGGCAGACGCUUCGUCUAUGCGAGGGAGGUGAAUGUGGUGGUGGAGGGUUCUAGGAGGUCUGAGAUUUCAGACCUGGAAGACCUAGACAGGCAUCAGAGUUAGUCCCGCGAUGCUAAGUCUGGGAAACCGAGGUCUAGAGAGGAGAUAAGACAUGCCAAGUCACAGAGUCAUGGGGGGGCGGGGGUGAGCUCAGGUCUCACUCCCAUUUCCCUGUUCUUUCCGCCAGACUCUGGGCCCCACUUCCGCAUCCAUACUCAGCAACACUGGAGGCCAAACGCUCUCAACCCCUUAGUGCCUGGCACAGCCCUGGGCCUGGGGAAGGGGACCUUCCCCGUUGCCACAGCACACCUGCGCUGUCCCCACGGACAAUCAGAUUGGUAGAGCUUUCUCAUGCUCUUCCCAUCGUCCCACGGAAAACCCACCACAGUUCCGGAGGACUGGCAUCACCACCCCUUUUUACAGAAAAGGGGGCUCAGAGGGGGGAAGGGGCCUGCCUAGAGUCACACAGCUCGAGUGCAGCGGAGCCAGCAUCCUGAGUCACCAUUGUGAACCUGAUCUGAGACACCAGGCGGCACCUCACAUAGCCUUGAAUGUUCUGGCCCCAGGCCGAUGUUGUGCCAUUGAAGUCAGGGGCUGCUGACAGGUAGGUUCGGCAGGGACGGGAACGUUGGGGGAAGGACCCUGAAAAGGAAACCCCGGAGACUGUUUUCACCUGGAAGGGCUCCGCCCCGCCCAGCAAUGGAAAAUGUGUGUCAGAGGAAGCCGCUGGCUGGGGAUGGGGUAGGUGUGCGUGGGUGAGCAUUUGGAGGGGCACAACGGGGGAGGGGCAGGAUGUGCUGGGGUUGGUGGGCAAGGUCGGGGUGCCGGAGCGGGGCGCGGGCUCUGCCCUCUGCCCACUGCCUUUUUCUCUCUGGUUCUCGCUUUCUUUCUCAUGCUCUCAGAACUAACAAUACAACUUUCACUUCCAGACAGAUGGGCCGACUGUCCUAUGAAAGCUGUCCCCACGCCCUACCUCCCAGAUCCCCUUGGCCAAUUCGCUCUGCUGGGUAGUUACCGCAGCAAGCAUUUAUUGAGCACCUGCUGCAUGCUCAGAUGCAGGGAUGCAGGAUGGCCUCUUCCCUGCCCAGAGAAGUGCACAACCUGGUGAAGACAGAAAUAUGACGAGACAGGGCCAUUGUGACAAGGUACCGCAAAGCCGGGGUUAAGAUAACACGGACUUAUUCACUCUCUGUUCUGGAGGUUCGAGGAUUGAAAUCGAGGUCCCUGGAGCAUCCAGCGCUGCUUCUCACCCCCGUCCUUGCUCACGAUGAGUCCUCUCCUGGCGGGGGCGGGAGGAGGUUCCUAUUGCUACUUUGUUCACACUCAUCAUUUAAGGCUCAGCUCUUCUUCCCGUCUUCCUCAGCUCUGCUGCUGGCUAGGCUGCAGGUCCCUCAGGCCACCUUCUCCCCACUCUGUGUUGACUUCAGCAGCACCACUAAUAAGAACUCUUUUUAAUAUGAUAAUUUGUCUCUUUAAAAAAAAUUUUAAUGUUUAUUUAUUUUCGACAGAGAGAGAGACAGAGCAUGAGCGGGGGUGGGGCAGAGAGAGAGGGAGACACAGAAUCUGAAGCAGCCUCUAGGCUCUGAGCUGUCAGCAGAGAGCCGGAUGCGGGGCUCGAACUCAAAGCCCGCGAGAUCAUGACCUGAGCCCAAGUCCGACGCUCAGCCGACUGAGGCCACCCAGACACCCCGAUAGUUUGUCUUUUAAUUAACGUAUGGGAUUAUUUCCCACUCGUUAGGUCUGGUGGUUCCUGAGUCACAACUGAACAACGAUCCCUGGGCAGCAUUUCCCCAUAGGGCAAGAGCAGUGGUCAGUGAGUCUACUCUUCUCCUGAGAUGGCUGUGAUCUGAAAUGAGUCGCUAUCUCCAGAGACUAUAUAGGUGUCAGUAGAACAGGGCUGAGGGGUCUUCGUCCCUUGCAAACCCUGGACUGUACCGAGGGGAAGAAGGCUCCAGGAGUUUUUUCUCAUGCAAUGCCUUCUGAUCCCGGUCCUCCCUCUGUCUUGGGGCUCAACGGGUUCUUCGAGUUUUCUUGUUCCCACCCAGGCAGAGGGGGAGCUGAUGUCCAGUUGAGGGUUCUCCCUCCGCUAGGCAGGGGUCUACACCCGUACGGCCAGCGUGUGACCGGCCCAGCCAGCCCCUCCGACAGCGUGGUGCAGACCACACUAGGCAGUGGCCUAGCCCCUGGGAGCGAGAGCUCACCGCUGCCACGUUUCCAGAUGUCGCUGCCUGGUGGGGCUGCAUGACUGCCACUCUCCGUGUGACGCUCCUGACCCUGUGGUUCAGGAGCUGCUUCAGCUUUAUGCACGAGGCAGCUUUGGCUGGACCGAUGGUGUGUGGUCCCACACUGCUGCAGGACAGACAGACACAGCCAGCCAAGGAGAACCAUGCCCACUCAGCAUCGGCUCCUUCAGCCUCAGCGACCAGCGUUCCAGCUCCGGGACCAGACUCCUGUCGUUCUGGGUGAAAUGCAGAUCCUAUAAUAAUAAUAAUAAUAAUAAUAAUAACUUUUAUUUAUUGAGGCAUAUCAUAUAAUAUAUACUAUACUGAAUGCUUUACAAAUAUCAAAUAAUUUGGGGCGCCCGGGUGGCUCAGUCGGUUGAGCGUCCGACUUCAGCUCAGGUCAUGAUCUCGCGGUUCGUGAGUUCGAGCCCCGCGUCAGGCUCUGUGCUGACAGCUCAGAGCCUGGAGCCUGCUUCGGAUUCUGUGUCUCCCUCUCUCUCUGCCCCUCCCUUUUUGCGCUCUGUCCCCCUCCCCUCAAAAAUAAAUAAACAUUUAAAAAUUUAUAAAAAAAAACAAGCAUCAAAUAAUUUAAUCCUGACCACAGUCUUAUGAGGCGGGUAAUUACUGGCCCCCAUUUUGCACAUUUAGGAAAUUGGGGCACAGAGAGGUUAAGUGACUUGCCUACAGCUGCACACAGCGGGUAAAUGACAGCACUGGGACAUAGACCCAAGCAGGCUGGCAUGCUCAACAGCUUUAACCGGUCACGUGACACGUGUCUGUUUGCUCGCCUGUCUCCCUUGAGAACAAGAACUGACUCUUGCUCUUCAACACUGGCACAGCGGCUGGCACACAGUAGGUGCUCCGUCAAGCCCCCCCCCCCCCCCUUAACAGGAGCCCGUUUGCAACAGGAGCCCUACGUAGGGUAAGAGAGCCUGGGGCGGGGCGGGUAGAGGGGUAGAAAAUGUGUUUCAUUUUAAUGGCUUUUUGCAACCAUCUAUUCUACAAGAUCACGUUCAUUUUCACAACACUGCUGGGCGUGGAUUAUUAGACCCACCCGUCAGAUGAGGAAACUGAGGCCCGAAGAGGCUGAGAAAUUUGUCUGAGUCAGCUAGCUGAGAGUUGGUGGAGGUGGAAACCCAGGCCUCCUGACUCCAAGUCCAGGGCUCAUUCUGCGCAUCAGAAUCGGGUCGGGGAUGUUGCUGAACCUGAACCCUGUCCAAGGGGCAUGGAGGCCCUGCCGAGUCCGGGGUCAUUAAUCACUCCCUCUCCCAGCAUGAGGGAGCCUUUGGGGACCGAGGCUUUUUCCCUUCCUCUCAGCCCUCAGGGUCUAACACCUCUUCAGGGCAGGAAACUCUUCCUUGUCACAAAGCUCUGGCCCUCCCUCCCCCAAGUUCCCUCUAGUCCCAGGCCACUCCCCUCCCUGUCCCCCUCGAGGGUCCUGGUAAAAGCAUCCGCUUGUCAGUGUAAAUCUGCAGGGUUCAGACCAGCAGCUGGAGACGGAUGGGCAGGAAGCAGGAACAAUGGACGAAAGAGCCUCUGUGCCCAGGUGGGUGGGGGAGGGAGAGGCAGGAAGCAGCAGCCUCUCUCGUCUGCAGGCCUGGAGCCUGGCUGGCCAGAGGCCGGGGCUGCCAGAACCUGCGGGGUUUAUUUGGAUUCCCCAAGGAUCCAAGCCGGGAGCCCUUCGCAAACAUCAGACCAGCUCAUCUCCGUGGGGUGCCCGGUCCAGGAUGUGUGUGACAAGAAUGUCCCUUUCAUGCGUCUCUGUUUGUCCCUGGGGACUAGCACAGGGCCGGCUGCACAGUAGGGCAGGGGCUUGUCUGUUGCAUGAAGAAAUUAAUCUGGCAUUAACAAUAAAGAAUUGCAGGGUUUUCUUCUUUUAAAGUAACCUCCGUGUCCCACGUGGUGCUCGAACUUACAACCCUGCGAUCAAGAGUCUGAGCCAGCCCCUGAUUUUCUUUUUUAAAAAUAUUUUUAAAACAUCCACAAUUUCCUCUUUCCCCUUCAACAUUUUUGCACAGACUGUUCUUUCUGCCUGGCGUGCUCUUCCCUCCGCUUUUUGCAAGGUCAGCACCUUUUUAGCCUCCAGGUGCAGCUCAGAUAAAGCUCUCCCAUGAGGCUUUGAGGGCCCACUUUGACCCACACCCCUUGCUAAGGUAACCCCCAUUCCCUGGCCCCGCUAAUUCAGCACACUGUUGAUUUCCUAGGUGGCACUUAUCUUAAUACGGCAUCUUCUCACUUACUAUGUAUCCUCUUUUUUUUUUUUUUUUUUUAAUUAUUCCC